This 327-nucleotide ribosomal RNA is filed under the name uncultured eukaryote. Its description in RNAcentral is "partial 18S ribosomal RNA". It matches the Rfam family "Eukaryotic small subunit ribosomal RNA", at positions 1470 to 1796 of the family's 1831-position model. The record is from RNAcentral.
CCCUUAGAUGUUCUGGGCCGCACGCGCGCUACACUGACGAAUGCAACGAGCUUAUAACCUUGGCCGAAAGGUCUGGGUAAUCUCCAAAUUUCGUCGUGAUGGGGAUAGAUUAUUGCAAUUAUUAAUCUUCAACGAGGAAUGCCUAGUAAGCGCAAGUCAUCAGCUUGCGUUGAUUACGUCCCUGCCCUUUGUACACACCGCCCGUCGCUCCUACCGAUUGAAUGGUCCGGUGAAGCGUUCGGACCGUGGCCUUUGGACGGUUCGCCGUCUGUUGGCUGCGGGAAGUUCGUUAAACCUUAUCAUUUAGAGGAAGGAGAAGGCGUAACA